UUAAGGCGUGUUCUGCUCGAGAAGAGUAGUGACCUUAAGAGAAGACAAAAGUGAGAGUAGUCGUUGCUGCGACAAGAAAGAGACUGUGCGAUUGCACAAGAGUUUACUGCCCUCCAGCGAGUAGAGCGCGUCUUGUGCGCGAGAGUUUGCUACCGUUCGGCGAGUAGAGCGCAUGUUGCGCGCAUGCGGAAAAUAAGCUAAAAAAUAAUUACAAAAGUGACUUAGCUACCCUAAACCCUAC
This 241-nucleotide long non-coding RNA is filed under the name Setaria viridis. RNAcentral's name for it is "long non-coding RNA (SVIR_LNC007526)". The record is from RNAcentral. Lineage: Eukaryota; Viridiplantae; Streptophyta; Magnoliopsida; Poales; Poaceae.